GACGUAGGUCGCAAACGUUAUCCGGAAUUAUUGGGCGUAAAGGGUGCGUAGAUUGUCUGAUAAGUUAGCAGUGGUAAAUCGAGGCUCAACCUCGUGGAAGCUGGUAAUACUGUUAUACUCGAGUGCAGGAGAGGUUAACGGAACUCCAUGUGGAGCGGUAAAAUGCGUAGAUAUAUGGAAGAACAUCAAUAACGGCGAAGGCAGUUAACUAUUCUGCUACUGACAUUGAGGCACGAAAGCGAGGGGAGCAAAAAGG
This 256-nucleotide ribosomal RNA is filed under the name uncultured bacterium. Its description in RNAcentral is "partial 16S ribosomal RNA". It matches the Rfam family "Bacterial small subunit ribosomal RNA", at positions 524 to 776 of the family's 1533-position model. The record is from RNAcentral.